Molecule: ribosomal RNA, 301 nt
Filed under: uncultured bacterium
Lineage: Bacteria
Description: partial 16S ribosomal RNA
Rfam family: Bacterial small subunit ribosomal RNA
Source: RNAcentral
CAGCAGCCGCGGUAAUAUGAAGGGGGCUAGCGUUGCUCGGAUUUACUGGGCGUAAAGGGCGCGUAGGCGGACAGUUAAGUUGGGGGUGAAAGCCCGGGGCUCAACCUCGGAAUUGCCUUCAAUACUGGCUGUCUUGAGUACGGGAGAGGUGUGUGGAACUCCGAGUGUAGAGGUGAAAUUCGUAGAUAUUCGGAAGAACACCAGUGGCGAAGGCGACACACUGGCCCGUUACUGACGCUGAGGCGCGAAAGCGUGGGGAGCAAACAGGAUUAGAUACCCCGGUAGUCCCUGUCUCUUAUAC